CCAGGGCCUUCUGGAAUGACUCAGAAAUGAUGGUUGGAUGAAUCCCUGUAAUUUGUGAAAGUCUAGUUAUUUAAUUGUAACAGUAAUAAAGUACAUCCUACCCACCUUUCUGAAGAAGCUUGGUACAAGAAUCUAAGAGGGAGCCAGCAAUGAUGACUACUGAUGUGGUGCCAUCUCCUGCUUCUAUAUCUUGAGCCUUAGACAGCUCCACCAGCUAAGUGAACAGAAAAUGCCAAGUUGCUCAAUGAGAAAUGACAGAACCCAGUAACACCUAAUUCAAAUAAUCGCACCAGUGUCACAAACAGAAUUUGAAGAUGCAACAUGAUUCCUGAUUUCUUCUGAUUUGUUGUCUACCUUGGGUUUCAUUUAAAAUUAAAGACUAGUAGAUGAUCUCCA
This is a long non-coding RNA of Homo sapiens (human), 396 nucleotides long. RefSeq lists it as uncharacterized. Lineage: Eukaryota; Metazoa; Chordata; Mammalia; Primates; Hominidae. The record is from RefSeq and is a predicted model, not a curated record. The transcript has 2 exons.